AUCCUUGAAAGAGUGCGUAAUAGCUCACUGGUCAAGUGAUUCCGCGCCGACAAUGUAGCGGGGCUCAAGUACACCGCCGAAGUCGUGUCAUUGCAGCAUUACCCCCAACGGGGGCUGUGAUGGGUAGGGGAGCGUCGUGUGCCGGGUGAAGCAGCCGCGGAAGCGAGUUGUGGAUGGUUCACGAGUGAGAAUGCAGGCAUGAGUAGCGAUAC
RNAcentral lists this non-coding RNA (212 nucleotides) under Streptomyces sp. NRRL F-4489. RNAcentral describes it as "Bacterial large subunit ribosomal RNA". It matches the Rfam family "Bacterial large subunit ribosomal RNA", at positions 1118 to 1315 of the family's 2925-position model. The record is from Rfam by way of RNAcentral. Lineage: Bacteria; Bacillati; Actinomycetota; Actinomycetes; Kitasatosporales; Streptomycetaceae.